Non-coding RNA from Caretta caretta (loggerhead turtle), 2267 nucleotides. The record is from RefSeq and is a predicted model, not a curated record. NCBI's taxonomy places the organism in Eukaryota, Metazoa, Chordata, Testudines, Cheloniidae.
UCCUUUUAUCUGUUGGAGAAUGUAAUGCGCGGGGGGAGAGAAAGAAUAAAGGGGAAGGUGGAAAGCUGACAGGCAGAAGCCCGUUAGCAGACCAGCUCGCUUGCUUGCUUAAAGCUCUGUGCUGUCUUGUCAUUGAACCGCCACAACUGGCGCCCAAACGUGGGGCCCUCAGCACUCACCUCGCCCAGCAAGGGUUUCAGACGCGUCACUCAUCCGCUUCGCGGAUCCCGGGCUGGUGGACACUGGAGCUGACGUUACGGUGAUUCGUGAUCCGGAGUGGCUGUCAUACCGCUCUGCCUGGGCUACUUACUGAAGGCAAUGCGUGCGCUGAUCGCGCGUUACAUGGUCAGGUAAAUUCCCUUUUUUCUGACCCCAUUGAAAGCCAUGCCUUUUUUCAUCAGUCUGCCUCUGUUUUGGCCCAACAGUUUCACAUUCCUGCUGAUCAUGCACGUUCUAUUGUUCGUUCCUGCCCCCACUGUGUCGCUGCUGCCCCUACCUUUUCUUAUGCCGUUAACCCCAGAGGUACCGCGGCGAAUCAGCUCUGGCAAAUGGAUGUCACUCAUGUGCCACAAUUCCGCCCCUAUUCGUUUUUACAUGUUUCCAUUGAUACCUAUUCGGGAUUCCUCUGGGCGACCCCACAGCGUGGAGAAGCCACUCCCAAAGUUAUUCACCAUUUGCUAGCCUGUUUUGCUGUUAUGGGUCGCCCGAGCCAGUUACAAACGGAUAAUGCCCCAGCCUAUUGCUCCACAGCCCUCUCCACCUUUUGUGCCCAAUGGGACGUCCGUCUCAAACACGGGAUUCCUUAUAAUUCCACAGGCCAAGCUAUUGUUGAACGUGCAAAUCGCACGCUAAAAACCUUGCUCGACAAACAAUUAAAACAAGGGGAGCUGCGUCUCCGAACCUUAGGAGACAUUCAGCAACAAAUGCAUAUCCUUUUGUUUACUUUAAAUAAUUUAACAUUGAAUACAGAUCAGCAGACCCCCACGGAUUGGCGUUUUCAUAAGUCCAAGGUACUGGAAAGACCGCGUGCCUAUUACCGUUAGCUGCCCGAUCCGCAAUGGCUGGGCCCAGUGCCUUUAAUCACUUGGGGUUGGGGAUAUGCUGCUGUGUUUCUCCCUGCAGGACCGUUGUGGGUUCCGGCCUGGUAUGUGCGACCGGCACUGAAGCAGCAUGGCGUGGCACCAGGGGCUAUCGAACCGCAUACUGGAGUUUCAGCUGACCUUGGAGGAGAGCGCGGUGCCUCCCGGGUCGACAACAACGGGACGGAAACGGAGGAGACGUAGCGUCCCAAGCCAGCCCGUGACAUGGGGAGCGGUAAAAGCAUUGGUCGCCGCGGCUCAAUGAAGACUGGCAGCAAACCAACAGCCAGAGACUCCUGAGACUUUGUUUGUGGCAAUUCUCACCCAAAUUACUGCUAAUUCUGUAUUGAUUGUAUGCCUUUUGUGCCUGCUAUUUCCUGUAGGGGUUGGCUCGGGAGCGCUUCCUCCGUUACGGGCCCGAAUGACAUAUAACCUAUGGGAAAUAUUGGCUUCAAUAGCAAAUGUUACCCACUUUUGUUUAUCUGAUUCUGUAGCAGCCGGGGAACUGUUAGGUACAUGCCUUAUUCCAGUAUGUCAUCACCCUGAGGAAACUGGAAAUGAGAUGAUGCUCGCUGCUUACACGAACCUCUCUUCCCAAUACUCUAGCAUGGCUAAUUGGGGCCCGGCCAAUUACACUUUACCUUCUUAAGCUCAUUUUUUUCUGUUGCUGUGUGCAAUGUAUUUCCUUUUUGUUAAGGCUUUGUCGAGAACCGCCCUGGCAGGCUCCACGAGUUAUGACCUCGUCUGUCCGGGAGUUAAUUGGUUUGCAAAAGCAAACUGAUGGCUACCAUGAGAUGGCCGAGCACAAAUAAACACAAAAGGAGGGGAUGUAGGAUUCAUACAAGGUUCAUGUGCUUGGCAACAUUCAGGGCACACCCGGAGUGUUGUAUAGGAGCUGUGCACACACAGCUCUUCUCAAGGGCACGAACCUUGGAAUCUCGCCCAGAUGACAUGAACCAUGGGAAGCCUCCCAGGACUGGGCUCAAGGCCCGAGAGCAAGGAAUGCGGUAGAUAGAAAUUGGUAAAUAAGAAUGUUAAACAAAGCCAGUGUAUUCCUUUUAUCUGUUGGAGAAUGCAAUGCGCGGGGGGAGAGAAAGAAUAAAGGGGAAGGUGGAAAGCUGACAGGCAGAAGCCCGUUAGCAGACCAGCUCGCUUGCUUGCUUAAAGCUCUGUGCUGUCUUGUCAUUG